Molecule: unclassified non-coding RNA, 329 nt
Filed under: soil metagenome
Description: partial contains 5.8S ribosomal RNA, internal transcribed spacer 2, and large subunit ribosomal RNA
Rfam family: 5.8S ribosomal RNA (bases 1-120)
Source: RNAcentral
GAUGAAGAACGCAGCGAAAUGCGAUAAGUAAUGUGAAUUGCAGAACUCAGUGAAUCAUCGAAUCUUUGAACGCACAUUGCGCCCCCUGGCCUUCCGGGGGGCAUGCCUGUCCGAGCGUCAUUACAACCCUCAAGCUCAGCUUGGUGUUGGGCCCCGCCGCCCCGGCGGGCCCUAAAGUCAGUGGCGGUGCCGUCCGGCUCCGAGCGUAGUAAUUCUUCUCGCUCUGGAGGUCCGGUCGUGUGCUCGCCAGCAACCCCCAAUUUUUUUCAGGUUGACCUCGGAUCAGGUAGGGAUACCCGCUGAACUUAAGCAUAUCAAUAAGCGGAGGA